CGGGGGCUAAUACCCGGAUAGGAGCGUCCUGCUGCAUGCGGGGUUGAAAGUUUCGGCGGUUGGGGAUGGACUCGCGGCUUAUCAGCUUGUUGGUGGGGUAGUGGCUUACCAAGGCUUUGACGGGUAGCCGGCCUGAGAGGGUGACCGGCCACAUUGGGACUGAGAUACGGCCCAGACUCCUACGGGAGGCAGCAGUGGGAAUAUUGCACAAUGGGCGGAAGCCUGAUGCAGCAACGCCGCGUGCGGGAUGACGGCCUUCGGGUUGUAAACCGCUUUCGCCUGUGACGAAGCGUGAGUGACGGUAAUGGGUAAAGAAGCACCGGCUAACUACGUGCCAGCAGCCGCGGUGAUACGUAGGGUGCGAGCGUUGUCCGGAUUUAUUGGGCGUAAAGGGCUCGUAGGUGGUUGAUCGCGUCGGAAGUGUAAUCUUGGGGCUUAACCCUGAGCGUGCUUUCGAUACGGGUUGACUUGAGGAAGGUAGGGGAGAAUGGAAUUCCUGGUGGAGCGGUGGAAUGCGCAGAUAUCAGGAGGAACACCAGUGGCGAAGGCGG
RNAcentral lists this ribosomal RNA (551 nucleotides) under uncultured bacterium. RNAcentral describes it as "bacterial SSU rRNA". It matches the Rfam family "Bacterial small subunit ribosomal RNA", at positions 157 to 724 of the family's 1533-position model. The record is from RNAcentral.